Nasonia vitripennis (jewel wasp) is the source of this 521-nucleotide long non-coding RNA. RefSeq lists it as uncharacterized. The transcript is spliced from 2 exons. The record is from RefSeq and is a predicted model, not a curated record. Lineage: Eukaryota; Metazoa; Arthropoda; Insecta; Hymenoptera; Pteromalidae.
ACCUUGGCCCCCCCACCAAAACACGUAAAAUUCUUUCAUUUUUCUGUUAUUUUCGAAAAUCUUAAAAAGCGAAGAAGAAUUGGAUUACGACUUAGAUGUACAAGAUAACAAUGAAAUUCAGUUUGCUGAACAGAGUAUUGAUGAAAUCAUUGAUUCUGUAUGUGAAGAACUAAAAAAUGAAAAUCUAAAUGAAGAGCCAGUAGUAAGUAAGCCGGUAUGGGGAGACAUAACAAAUGACGUCAUCACUGGCGCAUCCUUAUCUUAUCAAUGUAAACAAGUCAUAAAGAUAAGGUGUCAUGUUUCUAAACAGAUAAUAAAGAUAAGGUAUCGCCAACGUCUUAAGCAUUUAUCUUGUAAACAAUUAAGAUAAAUAUGGAUUGUUACUGACGUCAUGUACACCUCUUAUGACGUCAUAAGAUAAUGAGAUUUUUAUGUAUGAUGAGUUUGUAGUACUUUUAUAGAAAUAUUGUGGUCCUAAAAAGGACCGAUUUUAAUUGAUAAAUAAAAGUCUUAGAAUGAGA